Molecule: non-coding RNA, 7198 nt
Organism: Monodelphis domestica (gray short-tailed opossum)
Lineage: Eukaryota; Metazoa; Chordata; Mammalia; Didelphimorphia; Didelphidae
Source: RefSeq, a predicted model, not a curated record
ACAAUGAGCACGUUGGACUAGAACAUGAACCUCUUCCCGACCUUCAUAACCCGGAGAGGGCAAAGGCAGCGCCACUGAAAACCAGCCUCCACCGCCCCCCCCCCGGGGGGCCCUCGGGGAACCCCUGGGACAAAAGCCAUCCAAGGCUCUCUUGGGAGUCUCUGCCCCCCACCCCCACCCCUUUAUUGCCUCUGCAGGGGCUCUGGGAGACAGAGAGAGCCCGUCUCAGGGAAGGAGAGCCGUCCUCUCAACCAGCAAGAGCUGCCUCCUCCUGUGCUCUGCAGACGUCCUAAUGCUCUGAGGAAGUGGCCAGCUUUCAGCACCUACUAGGUCCCUGGCAUUGUGCUAGACCGAGGAGCACUUGCUCUCAUGGAGCCGCCCGCGCCUUCCCUCUGCAGACACACUAAGUCGCGUCUGCACGGAUAGAUAAAUAAUGCGUAAAUCAAUGGUAGUUCUGAGGAGGGUCCUGGCAUGGACCGCGAGAGCAGGGGAACGUUUCAAGAAAGACAGUGAUUGGGCUGAGUUGGAGGAAAGCAGAGUCAGAAAUCCUUGUUAGAGAGGAACGCCUUCUAUGCAAGGUGGAUGGAGAGAAUAAACAGGUUGGGGACACGCUGGGCACCUUUUCCGGUGAUUAUCUUAGUGAGAUCAACAUGACCAUCAGAAUCCAGAAGAUGCUGACAGGUAGAGAAGAUAAAAUGGCAAAAUCAAAUCUUGCAUUUGAGUUCAAAACAGCAAUCCCACAAGUACAAAAUAGCAGGAGUUCUUGUAGGUAGCAGAUCUUGUGACAAAAUACCACAACUUUUUAAAAAGAAUCUCAGUUUAAUUUAAGUUCAUAUUGUCAGAGUAAACAAAAACCCCAAAUUAAGAGGAUCCCUGACUUCACUGAUAGAAGCAUCUUGGCUACAAGGGGAAAAACAAAUAAAGACAUAGACUUAUAUGUAUGUAGAUCAACUAGUUAUCUACAACUCUAAAUAUGAGUUAUAUGUUUAACUAGAAACACAAUAUAACCAUAUGUGUAUAACUACACAAUCUAUCUAGUUGUAUGUGUAACUAUUUUAUGUAUCUAUGUAUAACUCAUUUUAGACACAUCAUUAUACAUCCAAAACUACAUUGUUAUGCACAGGACUAUACAGGAAAUAUGUAUAUAUUUAUUCUUCAAAAGUUAGAUACAUCAUAUACAUAUGUGUAUCACUAUCGUCCUUGUGGUUGUGAUACUUCUAUUAAUGAAUUUGUAGAUCAUAUUUUGUUGCUCUGACAAUCAUAUACAUCCAUCCACAUAAACACCCAAGUACAUGAUAUACAGCAUUUAAAACUAUAGAGAACUCUAAUUCUACAGAUGAUAUCAUAGAUAAUUUCAUGUAACAUAUUUUAUUCCUAUACUACUAUCACUUCCCUCUUCUGAUCAUGAUGCUGUUCUUUGGGAAACAAUUUUUUCAAAUUCCCAAUUUUACUAACCAAUCCAAGCCAUCAUUUCCAUACAAAAAGAAAAAGAUUAUACCCAAAGAGUACAACAAAUCUCCUACAUUUUGAGCUUACUUUUCUUGUCUACAAAAUCCAUCUCAUUCCUGUAUUUCCCAGCCCCUUCCUACCCUUCCUAUAACACAGAAGAGACCUACAUUCAUUUCUAUUUACUUUGUGCAGGUAACUUUCACAGUUUAUUCUUCCCACAUUAAUUCUCUGGUAGUGUAGAAUGCUCUCUUGGUUCACUGUUCCAUUAUCUCAUGUGUAGGAUGGGCACACAUCACUUUUACUUACUAUGACUGAAAAUAACCCAGAAAUGCUGGCCAUUCUCUUGAAGAAAGGAGCAGAUGUCAGUGCUACAGAUAGGUUUCAGAGGGAGAAGAAAAGAAGAGGAAAAGAGAGCACAAUUUUUAUUAUCCAAACAGAAUCACUUAAAAAGCUGAAGAGUAACAUCUUUCUUAUUCAAGGACAGCCAUUACGUUUGCUAUUGGUGGUGAACCCACUGGUAGAGUCAGUCUAUGUAUGAUGUUGACCUCUCUCACCAAGCUGAAGGACAUGCUUCUUGAAACGGUUGUAAUAUGUAAGCAUGCUACUGCUUCAACACCCUGAGCAUCUUUUAUCGUCUUUAUUUUAGAGCCAAUUAUAAUGUAACCUUUUAUAAUGUAUUAUUCAUAUUUUAGAAAGUAGAUUUUGUGUUCACUCAUCUUGUGUGAAUAUUACAUUUUUCCAGCAAAUUCAUUGAAUGUUCAAAAUGCCAUCAACUCAGUAGGAAUUAGAGGCACUAGAACAGAAAGACAACAAACUGAGAGAUAGACCUUUUUCUAUAUUACUAUGUAUAAUAAUGAAUGUUGAAAAGAAAGAUCAGGUGGAAAUUUUAGAAGCAGCUGCGUUAGCAUCAUUAGCAGCCAAAGCUACAUUUGGUGCUCCAUAGAACUGAUUGAAGAAGGUCUACAUUCAGGUCUUGCAUCAUCAGCUUGCCUUACAUAUUCCUGACAGGUGCCUGAGACUUAAAAAUCUAUAAGAAUGAUCUUGGAUAGAAUGUACUCUUAAGGAAUCCACUUGCCAAACAACUGAAUUUAAGGUAAAUUACUUGCUUAUUAGAGAAGUACUUUUUAACUCUUCUGGUGUGAUAUAUAACAUUCAGCAAAAAUAUUUAUUAGAGUCCUAUUUUAAAUGCUAAUUAUACUCAGAGUACUUUGUGGUUUGCAAAAUGAUUCCCCCCCCCCAAUUCCUAAAGAUAGGUAGCAAUUGGCAGUGAUCAGCACUCAGCAAUUUUUGUAAAUACCUUUUAUAAAGUAAUGAAAAAGUAACUUCCCCAAUGAAAUUAGAGACUGUUAUUAUGAAAUAUACACAUUUUUAACAUUUUUGGUUUUUUCUCCCUAUUGAUGAAACUGUACUAUUUUGUUGCACUUUACUUGUGCCAUACAGUAUUUGAUUUUUUUCUCAUUUUUUUGCCUUUGAAGCACAUGUCACUUCUAUUGAGACUGAUUGACUAUACCCUAUUACAUGCAUUGGAGAAAAUAAUCCAUAGACAAGUGGAUACUAUUUUUUGGGGGGGAACACACUGAAUCCCUGAAUUUUUUCCCUUAUUUUUAUUAUUGAUUUUUUUUAAUUUUGAUUAGAAUAUUUUAUUGUGUUCCUUUUUUUCAUUUCUUGUACUUAAGGUAUAUACAAUCAAUUUGUUAUUCUGCAGUAGUAGUAGUAGUAGUUGUUGUCUCUCGGUAACCGAGGAUGACUAUUGUCUUUGUGUGUUUCUGUGCACAAAGACACUUGUGCAUGAAGAUUUAAGUUGAAAAGUAGAUGCACAGAGGCAGUCCCACUCUCUCAGCAUUGGAAGCCUGGGUCCAGUGGCACAAAAAGUCGUUACAUCUGGAGACUUCCUUAGCUGCAUUGGAUGGCCGUGUUGUCUUUUGUGCUCCAACAUGCCCUAAGCACUCCACAGUGCUUUGCUGCGUCGCCAUCUCAGCCGUUGAACCUUCUUAUUGGUUUCGUCCGUCUGUUCAGCCGAAGCAGUCUUCACAUGCUGGGUGAGCAAAGCCCUGGUUCACCAGGGGUCCACGAUGACCCGAUGGCUACCUUCAUAAGGUUUAGCCGGCCUGUCAAAGCUGUUGCCCGGGGUGUGGCCGCUGCCGCAUGCUAGCAGCUACUGGGAGCCACAAGUGAGAGCUGGGUGUCAGGUGAGGGUCAGAGGCUGGAGAGCUGCCCUAUUCUGCAGUAAUAUAAGUUUAAAUAUAUAUAUAUAUAUAUAUAUAUAUAUAUAUAUAUAUGUUAUAAUAUUAAUGCAUACCCCAAAGUUUUUAAACUGUGGGAACCUGCCAUUUGUUGAUAAAAUGCUAUGGGACUGUGAUUAAUAUUUGUGUCUGAUUCUAGAAAAUGGGAUCAAAAAGGAGCACAAAUUUAACCUGAAUAGUGCCAAAAAGAGUACACAGGUCAAAAAGAAAGAAACCAAUCCAGGAAGGACUGAUGCACUUCUAAGUCAUUACAAAAGGACUUGAACCUAGUGUGAGACUCGAAGUUGUGACACUUGACGUAUAUUAAGAUGUAUGACUUCCUUGUAUCCACACUCUUUGUGACAAGUAGGGAAGUUUGGUUAUCAUCCUGGCUCCCAUAUCCCUGAGAAUGACAAAAAAAAAAAUCAGACCAGGGAAUGACACUUUCCUAUCAAAAUAAAAAUCUAGUACUUUUUCUUUCUUGUAGUAUGGCAAUUUCCUGUAGACUUGCCUGCAAAUGGGUAAGUGAAAUAUUGCUGCAUUCUGUCCUACAGAGUUGUGGGAUAGAACUUACUUUAAAUUGGACCCUAAACAAGGGCGAAUUAUGAAUUUAUUCUUGUUUACUCAACAUUUUAUAUACAUAGAUUUUGAUAUUUUGAUUCUGAUUUUGAAUUUUUUUUCUUUCUCCCAGAUGGUUAACUUUCUUACAUUUUUUUCCUUUGUUUUUGGCUUGUCCUGCAUUUAACACAUGUUAAGUAGCCGCAACCUCGAGUCUCACACAUGAUCAAAUAAUUUUUUUUUUGUACAGAAUGUCAUCAAUCCCCAUAGGACUGGCUUGCUUUCUUUUAUCUUUUUGUGCUCAUUUGGCACUCUUGCAGGUCAAGUUCUGUGGUCCUUUAUGGCCCGUUUCUUCUUGAUUAGACAUAGUCAUCAAGCAAAAGUCUCAGAAUAUUUAAAUCACUAAUGUCAGAUUGCCAUAGUCCAAAGCCUUUUGGGUAUGCUAUUAUAUGUGAGGUAAACAGACAUCUUAGCUAUUUUAUUGCAAAAGUAAAGCAGUUAAAAAAAAUUUUUUUUCAAUACUCGUGACAUGUGUUUCAAAGACAAAAAAAUGAGAAAAUAAGAGGGAAAAUAAAAUACUGUAUAACACAUAGGAAGAAAACAAAAUGUUAAAAUUGUGUAUAUUUCACAAUUAUAGAGGUAGAGGGACUAGUUUUCAAAAAAUAAGAUUCAUUUUCUCUUUGACUUACCAUAAUAAAGUGUGAAUACAAAUAAGGUAGACAAAACAAUGUGAGUGCAAAUGAGGUAGACAAAACAAUGUGAAUGCAAAUGAGGCAGGUAAAGCAAUAAUACAUUCAAGAAAAUACAAAAAAAAACUAGUAAAGGCACAAAAUGUUACAAAAGGCACAUCAGGUCACAUGAUUUUCUUCUUUGAGGUAUGUGUUGUCCUAUAAGGCAAUUUGUACAAAUAUAAGGAUCAACAAAAUAAAAUGCAACAAAAUAGUACAAAUCCAGCAAAAAAAAGAGUCUAAUUACAACCAAUAGUAAAAUACAAUCAGUAUAAGCAAUUAUGCAUCACCAACAGAAGGUACUCAUUUUAUGUGGCUACAAUGAAUCUACAAGUACCUCUCUCUAAUUUUUAUGGCAGUUGGUGUAGUUAGUAGGACCUGGAAAGGUCCAUCAUAAGCAAGUUCAGUUGACCCAGUUUGAAAUUAUGUACACACUAUCACCUGGGUUUAAAUCAUGAAGCGAAGUCUAUGGGGUCUGCUUGAACAGCAGCACCAGAGUCAUGGAGUUCUUGCAAUUUUGUUUGUAAUUGUCUGAUACAUGUAGCAAAGGUUGUAUCCCCUCCUAACAAUGAGGUAUACGCAGGGGUAAAUGGUUGUGCCUGAAUGGGUGGAUGUCCAAAUAGCAUCUCAAAUGGUGAGAUUUGUAAAUCACCUCUGGGUCUGCUUCUGAGAUAAAAUAGGGCCAGAGGUAGAAUUUCAGGCCACUUUAAAUGAGUCUCCAUGCACAAUUUGCCAAUCAUGGUUUUAAAUUCUUUAUUCAUUUGUUCAACUUGGCCAAAGCUCUGGGGAUGAUAUGGUGUAUGAAAUUUAGGAGUUAUCCCCAAAUAUGAAUAAAUUUGAGAUAAGAUUGAAUCAGUAAAAUGAGUUCCUUUAUCUGAAUUGAUAGGUGUUGGAAUCAAUAGGAGCUGGCAAGCCAGGGGUGGAAAAUACUCACAGCUGCAGGUAGGGAGGAAGGGAAGGAGCCACAGCUAGGUGGCUGGAGCUGGGGUUUGAAAACUCCCAGCAUAAAAGUCCUUAAAAAGCUCUCAGGUCACUUGACCCCCAUUGCCUAGCCCUUACCACUCUUCUGACUUGGAGCCAAUACACAGUAUUGACUCCAAGAUGGAAGGUAAGGGUUUUAAAUUUUUAAAAAAAGUUCUCAGUUCAGGUCCCUUCAUAAGUCUCCAAAAAUGUAAAAGUUAAAAUUAAUAUUCAAUACCCCAAGUAUUAAUUUAAUACUAUUUAUUAAAAUCCACUUAGAUGAAAGAGAAAAUUUAAAAAACAGGGAAAGGAAAAAAAAAUACUCCCUUCCUCCACGCUGGUAUAAGCCCAAGAGCUAGAGCUUCCAGGAGAGAGCACCAGUGUGAAGGAAGUUGAAACUGAAUACCAAAUUAACCAAUUAUGCAAAAGGAAAAGGGGAUUAUGGGAAAUGUAGUCUUUAGGGUUCAAGAUUCUAAACCAAUACAUUUCUAAAUCAAUACACUCACAAUGAGAUUCCAGUCCUCUUACACUUUAGGACCAAUGCAUCUGUGACCUCAUCAACAUGGGCUCUACACCAAUGAUGAUCACUGUCUGAAUGGUGACCUUGACUGGAACAAUCCUCUUGGAAGGUCCAGGUCUAUACUAUCCCUUUAGUAUUGCUUAGUCCUUGUGAGCUUCUACCAUUGAAGAAAUUCAGCAUGCUGCAGUUAAAAUGGCAACAAGCUUCUUGCUAUUCAAUAAGGCUGGGUCUUGAAUUGCAGACACAAAAUCUUCUACCAGACCCAAAUUCAAAGCUUUUCCAAACAGUUAAUAUGUGCUGAAGAGUGAGUACACUCCACUGCAAGAUCUUUCUUAAGAAGUUAGGAAAGUCAGGGAUACUGAGUCAAGAAAACAUUGGUCCUAUUGCACCUUCAAAAUCCCGGUCACUUCCAUACUGAGACAAAGCAUAAUAGGAGGAUUUUAAUGUAAGACUGACAUUAACAACUAAGAAAAGGUAAAUGUAAUAAACUGUAGAUUGAAAAUUAAUAUCCAAAAUACUCUUGGCAUUAUACUUAAUAAGAUUUAUUAAAUAAUAACUUAAAGCAAAAAAAAAAAAAGGAAAGUAAAAGGUUAGAGAAACAGAGAGCUCUCAUCCAUAUGCGCAUGCAGGAAAAAGAGAGAGCAAGAGGGAUGAGCCACACAAUUAUUUACACACAUAACAAAUGCAAACGUGAACAAAGGGAAAAGGAUUCUUGGAAUAAGAAAAGAAUAUACAAAAUAAAACUGGUAACAUGCAAAACA